This 493-nucleotide ribosomal RNA is filed under the name uncultured bacterium. RNAcentral's name for it is "partial 16S ribosomal RNA". It matches the Rfam family "Bacterial small subunit ribosomal RNA", at positions 28 to 507 of the family's 1533-position model. The record is from RNAcentral.
GACGAACGCUGGCGGCGUGCUUAACACAUGCAAGUCGAACGGUGAAGGGACCGGUUUUUGCUGGUUCUGGAUGAGUGGCGAACGGGUGAGUAACACGUGAGUAACCUGCCCCCUUCUUCUGGAUAACCGCAUGAAAGUGUGGCUAAUACGGGAUAUUCUGCGCCUGCUGCAUGGUGGGUGUGGGAAAGAUAUUGUUUCGGUGGGGGAUGGGCUCGCGGCCUAUCAGCUUGUUGGUGGGGUGAUGGCCUACCAAGGCGGUGACGGGUAGCCGGCCUGAGAGGGUGGACGGUCACACUGGGACUGAGACACGGCCCAGACUCCUACGGGAGGCAGCAGUGGGGAAUAUUGCACGAUGGGCGCAAGCCUGAUGCAGCGACGCCGCGUGAGGGAUGGAGGCCUUCGGGUUGUAAACCUCUUUCGCCAGUGAAGCAGGCCUGUCCCUUUUGUGGGUGGGUUGACGGUAGCUGGAUAAGAAGCGCCGGCUAACUACGUG